AAGGUUUUAUGUUAACAAAACAAAUAGCCUUCAAAGCUAUCAAUAGGAGUUUAACCUCCUAAGCCUUA
RNAcentral lists this transfer RNA (68 nucleotides) under unidentified. Its description in RNAcentral is "Epeorus sp. 02 ZXM-2022a tRNA-Trp". It matches the Rfam family "tRNA". From Rfam's summary of the family: Transfer RNA (tRNA) molecules are approximately 80 nucleotides in length. Their secondary structure includes four short double-helical elements and three loops (D, anti-codon, and T loops). Further hydrogen bonds mediate the characteristic L-shaped molecular structure. tRNAs have two regions of fundamental functional importance: the anti-codon, which is responsible for specific mRNA codon recognition, and the 3' end, to which the tRNAs corresponding amino acid is attached (by aminoacyl-tRNA synthetases). tRNAs cope with the degeneracy of the genetic code in two manners: having more than one tRNA (with a specific anti-codon) for a particular amino acid; and 'wobble' base-pairing, i.e. permitting non-standard base-pairing at the 3rd anti-codon position. The record is from RNAcentral.